RNAcentral lists this long non-coding RNA (225 nucleotides) under Hordeum vulgare. Its description in RNAcentral is "long non-coding RNA (HVUL_LNC009946)". Lineage: Eukaryota; Viridiplantae; Streptophyta; Magnoliopsida; Poales; Poaceae. The record is from RNAcentral.
CCAAAAUAACAUUUUUGCAAACUUGCUCCAAUGGCCAAACUAAUGGCACCACUGGAUUCCUAGGAUACUUUUACCCCAAAAUUAUAUAUCACACCCUAUGGUCCUAUGGACAAAACUCCUACAAUACAACUCAAAAAUCUACACAAUCACUUAUAAUCUAGUAUAUGCCAAAUUUUGCAUUUCCCAAAUAAGCACUGACACUUCAGGAAGUAAACAAGUAUAGAC